RNAcentral lists this ribosomal RNA (1343 nucleotides) under uncultured bacterium. RNAcentral describes it as "16S ribosomal RNA". It matches the Rfam family "Bacterial small subunit ribosomal RNA", at positions 28 to 1378 of the family's 1533-position model. The record is from RNAcentral.
GACGAACGCUGGCGGCGUGCUUAACACAUGCAAGUCUAACGGAAAGGCCCUGCUUUUGUGGGGUGCUCGAGUGGCGAACGGGUGAGUAACACGUGAGUAACCUGCCCUUGACUUUGGGAUAACUUCAGGAAACUGGGGCUAAUACCGGAUAGGAGCUCCUGCUGCAUGGUGGGGGUUGGAAAGUUUCGGCGGUUGGGGAUGGACUCGCGGCUUAUCAGCUUGUUGGUGGGGUAGUGGCUUACCAAGGCUUUGACGGGUAGCCGGCCUGAGAGGGUGACCGGCCACAUUGGGACUGAGAUACGGCCCAGACUCCUACGGGAGGCAGCAGUGGGGAAUAUUGCACAAUGGGCGGAAGCCUGAUGCAGCAACGCCGCGUGCGGGAUGACGGCCUUCGGGUUGUAAACCGCUUUCGCCUGUGACGAAGCGUGAGUGACGGUAAUGGGUAAAGAAGCACCGGCUAACUACGUGCCAGCAGCCGCGGUGAUACGUAGGGUGCGAGCGUUGUCCGGAUUUAUUGGGCGUAAAGGGCUCGUAGGUGGUUGAUCGCGUCGGAAGUGUAAUCUUGGGGCUUAACCCUGAGCGUGCUUUCGAUACGGGUUGACUUGAGGAAGGUAGGGGAGAAUGGAAUUCCUGGUGGAGCGGUGGAAUGCGCAGAUAUCAGGAGGAACACCAGUGGCGAAGGCGGUUCUCUGGGCCUUUCCUGACGCUGAGGAGCGAAAGCGUGGGGAGCGAACAGGCUUAGAUACCCUGGUAGUCCACGCUGUAAACGGUGGGUACUAGGUGUGGGGUCCAUUCCACGGGUUCCGUGCCGUAGCUAACGCUUUAAGUACCCCGCCUGGGGAGUACGGCCGCAAGGCUAAAACUCAAAGGAAUUGACGGGGCCCCGCACAAGCGGCGGAGCAUGCGGAUUAAUUCGAUGCAACGCGUAGAACUUUACCUGGGUUUGACAUGGAUCGGGAGUGCUCAGAGAUGGGUGUGCCUCUUUUGGGGUCGGUUCACAGGUGGUGCAUGCCUGUCGUCAGCUCGUGUCGUGAGAUGUUGGGUUAAGUCCCGCAACGAGCGCAACCCUUGUUCACUGUUGCCAGCACGUUAUGGUGGGGACUCAGUGGAGACCGCCGGGGUCAACUCGGAGGAAGGUGGGGAUGACGUCAAGUCCUCAUGCCCCUUAUGUCCAGGGCUUCACGCAUGCUACAAUGGCUGGUACAGAGAGUGGCGAGCCUGUGAGGGUGAGCGAAUCUCGGAAAGCCGGUCUCAGUUCGGAUUGGGGUCUGCAACUCGACCUCAUGAAGUCGGAGUCGCUAGUAAUCGCAGAUCAGCAACGCUGCGGUGAAUACGUUCCCGGG